AGGCGCUGCGGCCCGAGGGGCGCGCGGCUACGAGGAAGUGUAGUUUCUUACAGGGCUGAAUUGAAACAACUUCAGCUGUUUGCUUUUAGGAUGUCUCGCCGCAAGCAAGCGAAACCGAGAUCCCUCAAAGACCCCAACUGUAAACUUGAAGACAAGACUGAAGAUGGAGAGGCGCUAGAUUGUAAGAAGAGGCCGGAAGACGGGGAGGAGUUGGAAGACGAGGCUGUGCACAGCUGUGACAGCUGCCUCCAGGUGUUUGAAUCGCUGAGCGAUAUCACAGAACACAAGAUUAAUCAAUGUCAACUGACAGAUGGAGUGGAUGUUGAAGAUGAUCCGACUUGCUCUUGGCCAGCUUCCUCACCUUCCAGCAAGGAUCAGACUUCCCCUAGCCAUGGAGAAGGUUGCGAUUUUGGAGAGGAAGAAGGUGGCCCUGGGCUUCCAUACCCAUGUCAAUUCUGUGACAAGUCGUUUAGCCGCCUCAGCUACCUAAAGCACCAUGAGCAGAGUCACAGCGACAAACUGCCUUUCAAAUGCACCUACUGCAGUAGGCUGUUCAAACACAAGCGCAGCCGAGAUCGCCACAUAAAACUCCACACCGGGGACAAGAAGUACCACUGCAGUGAAUGUGAUGCUGCGUUUUCCAGAAGUGAUCACUUGAAGAUCCACUUAAAGACUCACACUUCCAACAAGCCAUAUAAAUGUGCCAUUUGUCGCCGUGGGUUUCUGUCCUCUAGUUCCUUACACGGACACAUGCAGGUUCACGAGAGGAACAAGGACGGCUCCCAGUCUGGUUCCAGGAUGGAGGACUGGAAGAUGAAGGACACUCAGAAGUGCAGUCAGUGUGAGGAAGGCUUUGACUUCCCAGAAGACCUCCAAAAACACAUUGCAGAGUGCCACCCCGAAUGCUCCCCAAACGAGGACCGAGCGGCCCUCCAGUGCGUCUACUGCCACGAGCUCUUCGUAGAGGAGACCUCCCUCAUGAACCACAUGGAGCAGGUGCAUGGCGGGGAGAAGAAGAACUCAUGCAGCAUUUGUUCUGAGAGUUUCCACACAGUUGAGGAACUGUACAGCCACAUGGACAGUCACCAGCAACCGGAGUCGUGCAAUCACAGCAACAGCCCUUCCCUGGUCACGGUGGGCUACACCUCCGUGUCCAGUACGACUCCAGAUUCCAACCUCUCAGUGGACAGCUCAACCAUGGUGGAAGCUGCCCCGCCAAUCCCAAAGAGUCGAGGGAGGAAGAGGGCCGCUCAGCAAACCCCUGACAUGACUGGUCCCUCGAGUAAACAAGCAAAAGUUACCUACAGCUGUAUUUACUGCAACAAGCAAUUAUUUUCAAGUCUUGCAGUUCUGCAGAUUCACCUGAAAACUAUGCACUUAGAUAAGCCAGAACAGGCCCAUAUUUGUCAGUAUUGCUUGGAGGUCCUGCCCUCACUCUAUAACCUAAAUGAACAUCUUAAGCAAGUGCAUGAAGCUCAGGACCCAGGUCUGAUUGUUUCUGCCAUGCCUGCCAUUGUCUACCAGUGUAACUUCUGUUCCGAAGUUGUCAACGACCUCAACACUCUUCAGGAACACAUCCGAUGUUCUCAUGGAUUUGCAAACCCCGCAGCUAAAGAUAGUAAUGCAUUCUUUUGUCCCCAUUGCUAUAUGGGUUUUCUCACUGACUCUUCCCUCGAAGAGCAUAUUAGACAGGUUCAUUGUGACCUCAGUGGCUCCCGAUUUGGGUCUCCAGUGCUUGGGACUCCCAAAGAACCAGUAGUAGAAGUCUAUUCUUGUUCCUAUUGUACUAAUUCACCAAUAUUCAACAGCGUUCUUAAGCUGAACAAACAUAUCAAAGAGAAUCAUAAAAACAUUCCCUUGGCCCUGAAUUAUAUCCACAAUGGGAAGAAAUCCAGGGCCUUAAGCCCCCUAUCUCCUGUGGCCAUAGAGCAGACAUCUCUUAAGAUGAUGCAGGCAGUAGGAGGUGCACCUGCACGUCCAGCUGGAGAAUAUAUCUGUAAUCAGUGUGGUGCUAAGUACACAUCCCUAGACAGCUUUCAGACUCACCUAAAAACUCAUCUCGACACUGUGCUUCCAAAAUUGACCUGUCCUCAGUGCAACAAGGAAUUCCCCAACCAAGAAUCCUUGCUGAAGCAUGUUACCAUUCACUUUAUGAUCACCUCAACGUAUUACAUCUGUGAAAGUUGUGACAAGCAAUUCACAUCAGUGGAUGACCUUCAGAAACACCUGCUGGACAUGCACACCUUUGUCUUCUUUCGCUGCACCCUCUGUCAGGAAGUUUUUGACUCAAAAGUCUCCAUUCAGCUCCACUUGGCUGUGAAGCACAGUAACGAAAAGAAAGUCUAUAGGUGCACAUCUUGCAACUGGGACUUCCGCAAUGAGACUGACUUGCAGCUCCAUGUGAAACACAACCACCUGGAAAACCAAGGGAAAGUGCAUAAGUGCAUUUUCUGCGGUGAGUCCUUUGGCACCGAGGUGGAGCUGCAAUGCCACAUCACCACUCACAGUAAGAAGUACAACUGCAAGUUCUGUAGCAAAGCCUUCCAUGCGAUCAUUUUGUUAGAAAAACACUUGCGAGAAAAACAUUGUGUGUUCGAAACCAAGACACCCAACUGUGGAACAAAUGGAGCUUCUGAGCAAGUGCAGAAAGAGGAAGUGGAGCUGCAGACUUUGCUGACCAACAGCCAGGAGUCCCACAACAGUCACGAUGGGAGCGAAGAAGACGUCGACACCUCUGAGCCUAUGUACGGCUGCGACAUUUGUGGGGCAGCCUACACUAUGGAAACUUUGCUGCAGAAUCACCAGCUCCGAGACCACAACAUCAGACCUGGAGAAAGUGCCAUCGUGAAAAAGAAAGCUGAGCUCAUUAAAGGGAAUUACAAGUGCAACGUGUGCUCUCGAACCUUCUUCUCCGAAAAUGGCCUCCGUGAACAUAUGCAGACCCACCUAGGCCCUGUCAAACACUACAUGUGCCCUAUUUGCGGAGAGCGGUUUCCCUCCCUUUUAACUCUUACUGAACACAAAGUCACGCAUAGUAAGAGUCUUGAUACUGGAAACUGCCGGAUUUGCAAGAUGCCUCUCCAGAGUGAAGAGGAGUUUUUAGAGCAUUGCCAAAUGCACCCUGACUUGAGGAAUUCCCUGACGGGCUUUCGCUGCGUGGUGUGCAUGCAGACAGUGACCUCCACCUUGGAACUCAAAAUCCAUGGGACAUUCCACAUGCAAAAGACAGGGAAUGGGUCUGCAGUUCAGACCACAGGGCGUGGCCAGCACGUCCAAAAACUGUACAAGUGCGCAUCUUGCCUCAAAGAAUUCCGUUCCAAGCAAGAUCUGGUGAAACUUGACAUCAACGGCCUGCCAUAUGGUCUGUGUGCUGGCUGCGUAAAUCUCAGUAAGAGCGCCAGCCCAGGCAUUAACGUCCCUCCCGGCACGAACAGACCAGGCUUGGGCCAGAAUGAGAAUCUGAGUGCCAUCGAGGGGAAAGGCAAGGUGGGGGGACUGAAGACGCGCUGCUCUAGCUGCAACGUUAAGUUUGAGUCUGAAAGUGAACUCCAGAACCACAUCCAAACCGUCCACCGAGAGCUUGUGCCAGACAGCAACAGCACACAGUUGAAAACGCCCCAAGUAUCACCAAUGCCCAGAAUCAGUCCCUCCCAGUCGGAUGAGGAUAUUGUCUUCUCUAUGACUGAAGAGACCAGCGCUCAUGCCAACACUACUGAGAUCUGGAAUCUCAGCAUAGCUUCACCAAGAAGACCUAUCAAUGCAUCAAGUGUCAGAUGGUUUUCUACAAUGAAUGGGAUAUUCAGGUUCAUGUUGCAAAUCACAUGAUUGAUGAAGGACUGAACCAUGAAUGCAAACUCUGCAGCCAGACCUUUGACUCUCCUGCCAAACUCCAGUGCCACCUGAUAGAGCACAGCUUCGAAGGGAUGGGAGGCACCUUCAAGUGUCCAGUCUGCUUUACAGUAUUUGUUCAAGCAAACAAGUUGCAGCAGCAUAUUUUCUCUGCCCAUGGACAAGAAGACAAGAUCUAUGACUGUACACAAUGUCCACAGAAGUUUUUCUUCCAAACAGAGCUGCAGAAUCAUACAAUGACCCAACACAGCAGUUAGUGCAAGUACAGUCUCUCAAGGAGAAUUGCUUUUGUGGCACAAAAAGGGAACAUGUUUUACUCUUUGCACGAAACUUUCAUUGUUAAUGUAUAUUAUUCAGAAACAUUGUAUUGUACCAUAAAACUUGUAUUAUCAAAACUGUUGGAUGUUCAUGUGUUUGAACUUUUGCGCACCGGAUAGACCCCUUGUAUAUAAAGUGUUGCACAUGUAUUAUGUCGUCUGAUACUAAAAUGGUCUUAUAAAGACAAGUGGACUUGGGCCCUAUUCAGGCAAGAUUAAAAAAAAAAAAAAAAAAAAAAAGACAUAUGACCAAAAUGGCUUAAGAUAAAGUAUUUUUAAGGAAGAAAGAUUAAAAACAACUGUUAUACAUGAGACUAUGGUUGGACUUCCUUUUCUUUACACUUAAGCCUAGAAUUUCUCUUUUGGUAUAUCAGCGCUUAAAUCUAAGACUAUUUUUUAUUGCUGAAGAUUCUUGCAAACCAUGAAGAGAUGUUCUCACAGAACAGAACCCCACAGCUGGAUAAGGCCCGUAUAUAUAUAUUUGUAAGCCUUGCAAUGUGACAGGUAGCAUCACUAUAUAUGCAAUAGUUGUUAUGUAGACUGUCAAAGAAUUUUUUUUCCCUGGAUACAUUUGAAGCUUUGAGUGUUCAAGGUUUUCCUUAAUGAUUUCACGCAGCCAAAUUCUUGAAUCAGUUGAACUAACCUGUAUGUUACUGUUAUUAAUGUUUACUCUGCAGUCUGAACCUGGAGAUUACUGGAAUUGUUUUCCAAGAGGAAAUAAAUUCAGUUUACCAUUAGG
This is an RNA transcript of Mandrillus leucophaeus (drill), 4905 nucleotides long. It is a transcript of the gene named zinc finger protein 521, with no coding region annotated. The transcript has 8 exons. The record is from RefSeq and is a predicted model, not a curated record. Lineage: Eukaryota; Metazoa; Chordata; Mammalia; Primates; Cercopithecidae.